GACAUAGGUCGCAAACGUUAUCCGGAAUGAUUGGGCGUAAAGCGUCCGCAGGUGGCUGUGUAAGUCUGCUGUUAAAGAGUGAGGCUCAACCUCAUAAAGGCAGUGGAAACUACACGGCUAGAGUGCGUUCGGGGCAGAGGGAAUUCCUGGUGUAGCGGUGAAAUGCGUAGAGAUCAGGAAGAACACCGGUGGCGAAAGCGCUCUGCUAGGCCGCAACUGACACUGAGGGACGAAAGCUAGGGGAGCGAAUGGG
This 253-nucleotide ribosomal RNA is filed under the name uncultured bacterium. Its description in RNAcentral is "partial 16S ribosomal RNA". It matches the Rfam family "Bacterial small subunit ribosomal RNA", at positions 524 to 776 of the family's 1533-position model. The record is from RNAcentral.